This 357-nucleotide ribosomal RNA is filed under the name Triticum aestivum (bread wheat). RNAcentral describes it as "partial small subunit ribosomal RNA". Lineage: Eukaryota; Viridiplantae; Streptophyta; Magnoliopsida; Poales; Poaceae. The record is from RNAcentral.
AUGGCCUGCGAUGUCGCCGCCGACGAGCCACCUACCAUCCCCACAGUACAGGAGCUUCACGCGCCCGACAAGCUACCCGUCAUCCCCAGCGUACAGGAGCUUCGUGCGCCCGACAAGCCCCACGCCGUCUGCACCGUACAGGAGCUCCGCGCGGGCGACGCGUCCUCCGCCAUCGGCAGGGCCCCCGAUCUCUGCGCCGAUGACGCGGGCCUCGCGGCACACAAGCGACUCUGGAGAUCGCUUAGUAAGCGGAGCGACCGAGGCGCCAUCGACAACAUCAUGGCGGGUCUUCGUGCCUCAGCAACGUCUUUUGCUCCUCCUCCACCGCCACCACCUCCUCCUCCCGAGCCGGAUUAG